This 240-nucleotide unclassified non-coding RNA is filed under the name soil metagenome. RNAcentral describes it as "partial contains 5.8S ribosomal RNA, internal transcribed spacer 2, and large subunit ribosomal RNA". The record is from RNAcentral.
AAGACUAUAGACCUGCGGAGUACCUGCGGAAGGAUCAUUACCGGGUUCCCGGGGCCUCUGCCCCGCUCCCCAUAUCCUCUGCAAACCCCCCUCUCCCGCGACCUCCCGUGGCGAAGAGGGCGUUGCGGGGAGGAGGGAGGGCUCCCCCACUCGGGGCCUCUUCCCCCCUCCCCUGCGACGGCCCGCCAGCCAGCGCGAGAACGAAAAACUCUGCCUCCAAACCGUCUGCGUUCUGAGCGA